This 1564-nucleotide long non-coding RNA is filed under the name Strigops habroptila (Kakapo). RNAcentral's name for it is "lncRNA (ENSSHBG00005013270.1)". Lineage: Eukaryota; Metazoa; Chordata; Aves; Psittaciformes; Psittacidae. The record is from RNAcentral.
GCCGAGGAGCGGUGGUUUCCCAACAGGGAAGUCAUUUUGUGUGCGCCGGUGCGGGCUGGGCCCUGAACCGCCCUCCCUGGGGGCUGAGGUCGGACACAACUCAUUGCAGGGGUGGGCAAACGGUGGGGGCACCCCCCCGCUGGAGGGGGAAGCUGGGGCCCUGCUGCUGACAACCGCCCGGCGCUGGGAGAGCGGCCGGAGCCGGCCCCCGCUAUCCCCCUUCACUGGGUGCGAGGACGAGAGGCCCGCCGGCUGCUCCCCUCCGCGCUGCGCCGCCCUCACCAGGUCCAUGGAGUGACCCCGUGGGGGGGUCCCUGCACCGGCGCAGCCCCCGGCCGCCGGCCCGGCGCUGAGCGAGGCCGCCGCGAACAUGAGCGACUUCUGGCACAAGCUGGGCUGCUGCGUCGUGGAGAAGCCACAGCCGAAGAAGAGGAGGAGACGGAUCGACCGCUCCAUGAUUGGAGAACCCAUGAACUUCGUCCACCUGACGCACAUCGGCUCCGGAGACAUGGCUGCGGGUGAAGGCCUGCCCAUGACUGGUGCUGUCCAGGAGAUGAGAUCCAAGGGUGGACGGGAGCGACAGUGGAACAACUCCCGGGUCUUGUAGCAUAUUCCUGUUUUUUUCAGCCCAAACUUAAACUGCCCGAUCCCCCAACCAGAGAAGAAGCCGAUCUCGAGCGCUUUAACCCUGCGGUAAUUUAUGCAGAGCAAUCCUUGCCUGGCUCCCGGUGGCUUUUGGUCGUCAUCCCCCCUGGCAAAUCCCUCCCCGCUGGAGGCGUGGGGUCAGUGGCGCGGGGGGCAAUGGGCACGGCAGCCCCCGCCUCGUGCCCGACCAGCGGAAGGACGCGUGCCAGGAGCUGCCGGGCACAGCCGGGAUGUGCCAAACCCUCCCGGCUUUCCUUGCUCCGUACCUGUGCCUCGGCGCCGGGCCGCGGUGCCUCGCUUGCGCCGGGGGAUCACGGCGGGGCUGCUCCUGGUGCCGAGGCCGGGUCGGUGCCCUCUCGGGAAGGCGCACAACAGCAAAACUGGGAUUAGACCCUGAUGCUUGUGUCUCGUCAGCAGCGGCUCAGCACCGGCACCAUCCACGAGCCUGUGGUGCCUCCAGCCAGCGGUGCCACCACUGGCAAACUGCCACCUUCCUCCUUUUUUAGGAUAUAUAUAUAUUUUUUAAGCUCAAAAACCCAAGCAGGCAGCCUCUGACGCCUCAGAGGAAGGACUGUGGUGUGCUCCCCUCGCGCUGGGGUCACCACCAGGGUUUCACUGGCACUGGCCGAGGCAGGACGGGGCCUGACCAAGAAGGCGCUGGGGCUCCUGAAUUCGGGCACGGGUGUAUAUAGUUUAAAUAGCGCCAGGAUUCAAUAUGAAAUAGCAAAUGCCGGGCAUCACAGGCGGGUGGCAGAGGCUUUCACCCUGCUCCCUGCCACACCGGGAUGCUCCCGUGAGGAACCGGGCUCUUCCAGCCCCGUGGUGUGCUUGGUGUUGGUGAGUGAGUGCCGAUGCUUGGUCCGGUUUUCCCUCCCCUGGGAAAAACAACCCAUCCUUGAAAUAAACCCCUUGUGCUGGC